This 269-nucleotide ribosomal RNA is filed under the name uncultured prokaryote. Its description in RNAcentral is "partial 16S ribosomal RNA". It matches the Rfam family "Bacterial small subunit ribosomal RNA", at positions 524 to 792 of the family's 1533-position model. The record is from RNAcentral.
UACGGAGGAUCCGAGCGUUAUCCGGAUUUAUUGGGUUUAAAGGGUGCGCAGGCGGGAGAUUAAGUCGGCGGUGAAAUUUUGCAGCUCAACUGUAAAAGUGCCUUCGAAACUGGUUUCCUUGAGUGUAGAUGAAGUAGGCGGAAUUUGUGGUGUAGCGGUGAAAUGCAUAGAUAUCACGAGGAACUCCGAUUGCGCAGGCAGCUUACUAAACUACUACUGACGCUCAGGCACGAAGGCGUGGGGAUCAAACAGGAUUAGAUACCUGUGUA